This 253-nucleotide ribosomal RNA is filed under the name uncultured bacterium. Its description in RNAcentral is "partial 16S ribosomal RNA". It matches the Rfam family "Bacterial small subunit ribosomal RNA", at positions 524 to 776 of the family's 1533-position model. The record is from RNAcentral.
GACAGAGGUCCCAAGCGUUAGGCGGAAUCACUGGGCUUAAAGCGCGUGUAGGCGGACUUCUAAGUACCUUGUGAAAUCCCACGGCUCAACCGUGGAACUGCUUGGUAUACUGGUUGUCUUGGGCCAUCUAGGGGCUAGCGGAACAAACGGUGGAGCGGUGAAAUGCGUAGAUAUCGUGUGGAACGCCAAUGGUGAAAACAGCUAGCUGGGGAUGUGCCGACGCUGAGACACGAAAGCCAGGGGAGCGAACGGG